UUUAACGAGAGUUUGAUCCUGGCUCAGGAUGAACGCUGGCGGCGUGCUUAACACAUGCAAGUCGAGCGAAACACUUAGAUCUGAUUUCUUCGGAAUGAAGAACUUUGUGAUUGAGCGGCG
This 120-nucleotide non-coding RNA is filed under the name Hespellia stercorisuis DSM 15480. Its description in RNAcentral is "Bacterial small subunit ribosomal RNA". It matches the Rfam family "Bacterial small subunit ribosomal RNA", at positions 1 to 100 of the family's 1533-position model. The record is from Rfam by way of RNAcentral. Lineage: Bacteria; Bacillati; Bacillota; Clostridia; Lachnospirales; Lachnospiraceae.